GACGAACGCUGGCGGCGUGCUUAACACAUGCAAGUCGAACGGAAAGGCCCUGCUUUUGUGGGGUGCUCGAGUGGCGAACGGGUGAGUAACACGUGAGUAACCUGCCCUUGACUUUGGGAUAACUUCAGGAAACUGGGGCUAAUACCGGAUAGGAGCUCCUGCUGCAUGGUGGGGGUUGGAAAGUUUCGGCGGUUGGGGAUGGACUCGCGGCUUAUCAGCUUGUUGGUGGGGUAGUGGCUUACCAAGGCUUUGACGGGUAGCCGGCCUGAGAGGGUGACCGGCCACAUUGGGACUGGGAUGCGGCCCAGACCCCUACGGGGGGGAGAGGUGGGGAAUAUUGCACAAUGGGGGGAAGCCGGAUGGAGCAACGCCGCGUGGGGGAUAACGGCCUUCGGGGUGUAAACCGCUUUCGCCUGGGACGAGGCGUGAGGGAGGGUAAUGGGAAAAGAAGCACCGGCUAACUACGU
This 467-nucleotide ribosomal RNA is filed under the name uncultured bacterium. Its description in RNAcentral is "partial 16S ribosomal RNA". It matches the Rfam family "Bacterial small subunit ribosomal RNA", at positions 28 to 506 of the family's 1533-position model. The record is from RNAcentral.